UGAAGUGCGAGGGUCGAAACUCUCUGUCGGGAAAGAACGUUGAUCGCCUUUGUAAUGGAAUAACAUUCGCCUAGAUCGAGGGACAACGUAUUUAGCGCCACCGUUAAAAUUGCUGAUGAGUGCGAGCAGGAGAUGCGUCUGGUAUAUUUUUCCUGUGUUCGGCGCGUCAAAGGAGUCGUUAGACGAUGACUAUUCAUGUCUCUUACGUACGAGAAAACGCAGAGAAGCGUACCGCCCGGAGGAUACUUGAUGUAAUUAAUCGUAUGCAUUGUCACGCGUCUGUGAUAUACGGAUGGCCCGCGGCGAUCAUACACCAUGCACUUACAUCAACGGAAGGUGCUAAAUAUAUGCUUCUUAAGAAAUAAAAAGGGACGCAGCAUAUUUUUCGAGUCACAUAGAGAACAAGGGAAAGAACGAGUAAAACACAUAAAAAUAAUUACAGAUGUAUAUAUAAAUAAAAUGUAAUAUACGCUGUUCCAUUUCA
This is a long non-coding RNA of Wasmannia auropunctata (little fire ant), 484 nucleotides long. RefSeq lists it as uncharacterized. NCBI's taxonomy places the organism in Eukaryota, Metazoa, Arthropoda, Insecta, Hymenoptera, Formicidae. The transcript has 2 exons. The record is from RefSeq and is a predicted model, not a curated record.